Molecule: non-coding RNA, 14410 nt
Organism: Anolis sagrei ordinatus
Lineage: Eukaryota; Metazoa; Chordata; Lepidosauria; Squamata; Anolidae
Source: RefSeq, a predicted model, not a curated record
GGCACUAACCAUGGUUGUCCCACCAUCCAAAGAUGAAUAGUUGAGGCUAAAACCAGGUCCUCCCAGAAGCUUCACUCAGCUCUGGCAAAUUGCAAGGGGAAGAAGCUUAAUGCCAUGAGGAGGAAACCUUAUUUGGGAUCUACUCUCUUCACACGCAUUGCAACCUAUGGUGCCUGCAUGGAGAACUAUCAGCGCAACCGUGCAAAUUCAGUGGCUCUGUUUUUGAUAAGUUAGACAGCAAGGACAGGAAAACUUUGGCAACUUUUCACUAGGAGGCCUUCUUCUUCCACAUCAUCAAGUCCAGCUGGCAAAGCACACAGCAGAUACAACUGGAAAAAUGCUGUCACAUGUUGUACCCAUACAGUGCCACACUUAAUUGAGGUCAUUUGGGCUAUUUUCUCCUAUCAGAGCUGUCAUCAAGGACAUGCCAUUUGAUGACUCAGGUCUGUUUAAUGAAGCCAUCGAUUCAAAAUUUAAAAAACCACCAAGAGCUUUGAACAGCUGAAAAUAAAUAUGGCCUGUGAGCAAAGACCUCAUACAUGUCUUUUCGAAUAAGAUGGCAUCAGAAUUAAUCCUACCAUAGCCUGUCCAUUUCACCUCUAUACUGACCAAAGUCAUUCUCGCAGCAAUGGUGCCAACCUUGUUCAAAGCUAGUGAAUUCACUAAUUGUAAGAACUGACUGUGAGCACUUCAAACCAGUGCUUUUGCAUUGGCCAUUCGGUCAACUCACAAAAGGACAAGUUACCCCACUGUUUAUGGAUAGACUUGCUCAGUAUGCCCAUGUCUGGUCAAGAAUAACCACAGACCAGUGAGGAAAGAUCCACAAAACACAGUCUGCAGCUUUGAUUCUUCAGGAGAUCGACAUCCAUUGAGGCAGAGCUUCAGACUCAAUGUUUUUUCUUUCUGUUACUUGCAAUCUCCCAAAGAGACAGUGAUCUCUAACAAAUCAUGAACCUCAGGGCUGUCAACAAUUUCAUAAGACUGAAGCAUUUCUAGAUGGUGACUGUUGCGUCAGUCCUACCACUUCUUUGUCAGAGAGAUUGGUUUGCCACCCUCAAUCUCAAAGAUGCGUAUUUCCAUAUUGUAGUGCACUCUCAGUGCUGACAGUACCUUAUCUCUUGCAUCAGAGACAUAUAUUUCAGUUUUGAGUCCUACCUUUUGGCUUGGCAAUGGCACAGUAGGUGUUCAUCAAAUGUAUGGCAGCAGUGUCCACAUAUCUUCUCACCUACUAUGUUUCCAUCUAUCCUUACCCUGAUGCCUAGCUGGUGGUGGCAUACAGGAAACCAUGGUUACUACAAAACAUAGAUUUGUUCUUCAUCUACUAAACAAGCUUGGCCUCAUACUGAGUCAGGAUAAAUCUCAUUUACUCCCAACACACAGCGUCCAGAUUCUAGGGAUGCUAUUUGAUUCCAUUGAGGAAAAGACUAUUCACAAACGUUCAGAAUGCUGUCCCCCACUGCUGAAAACACAAGAAAAUGCAAGCUAAGACAUUUCACCCUGCUUGGUCACCCAGCUUUGGCCACAGUUUUGAGACUGUUUCCAAAACUUCAUAUGAGACCUCUGCAAAUCAUGGUUCCUACAGCACUUCAAUUCUAUAAGAGAAUCACAGUUGAAGCACUUCUCCAUCAUGUCUCUGACAAAUUAGAGCUCUCUCUGUUUCCACAGAGACUUUCAAAAUGAAAUGUGGAUACAAUUAGACUAUGUUAUGGACUGGUUGGAAUAAUAAUAAUAAUAAUAAUAAUAAUAAUAAUAAACUUUAUUUGUAUCCCGCUACCAUCUCCCCAUGGGACUCGAUGCGGCUUACAUGAGGCCAAGCCCAAAAUACAUCAAACAACAUCAAUAAUACAAGAUUAAUAAAUAAUCAUUAAAAUACAAAUCAUAUAAAUCACAUAACAAAACAACUACCAAUAGUGACAUAUAAACAGUUUUGAAACAGCUGGGCCAAAUGUAAUAUGCUUACGUGAACAGGUAAAAUAUAACUGGAUAGGCUUUUUCAGAGAGAAACGAGGGAACAACAAUCCAUCCUAAGUCAGUAUUAAAGUGCAUUAUAAGGGCAUAUUGCUGAGAGUUCUCCUAUUCUGGGAAGGCACACUGGAACUCCCAUCUUCUCAAAUUUGAGCACAUACUACAAGGGCCACAAAGACAUCUACAGCUUUUAUUAAGGGUAUUACCCCAGAGAUUUCCAGGACUCUUAUUUGGAGCAACCCUUCUACUUUCAUCUUACACUAUAGACUGGACUCUAGAUAUGUUGCUGACACGACUUUUAGUAGGACAGUAUUGUUCUGUGUUUCCUGAAUUCAAAUUCCUACUUUGUCCUGGUUUCUUUCAUUCAAGGGUUUUAUUAUUAAUAGACUACAACAAGAGUUUUUUAUAAAGGGAUCAAUGUUGUUCUGCAACUGUUUUUAUGUGUCUUGAUGUUGACACAUUUACCUCAAAUUCAAAAUGUUUUACCUUGAAUUCGUAGCAUCAUGAUGUCUCUUUUACAGACAUUUGGCAUAUGUUUUUGCCACAUGUUCUUCUUGGUGGCUGUGUCUUUUCUGUGUACUUGAAUGGGCUCAACCCAGUGAAAUGUAUGUGCUAACUGUGUGCACAGUUAUGUAUGUGCUAAUUAACAAAGCAUGUAUUUACACCAUAAAUCAUUCCUUAAUGCAAGCUUUAUUCUUGGUUAUUUAAUAAAGUUUUAUAUUUUCCUUAAUUACCUAACUCUUGGAUGCCAUGACUCCUUCCAUCCAUGGUCCUUAGUUUUUUAGUCACCCAGUUGUGUGAUUCACAGAGAAUAUGAAGAAGGACAGGUUGCUUACCUAUAACUUUAUUUCUUCAAGUGGUCAUCUGUGAAUUCACACAACUGCACCCAUCCUGGGGCAGCAAUCCAUACCUUAUAUGCACUUGGGAUAAUGGGCGGGGUUACUGCUAAAAACAUUUAUCUCUAAAAAUUCUGGACAGUUUUAAAGAUGCUCUGUGCAGGUACAGAACAUCCAGUUAUGUGAAUUCAAAAAUGACAACUCAAAGAAAUACAGUUACAGGUAAGCGACCUGUCCUUCUCAAGUAGAAGGGAAUGCUCUAAUCAGUAUUACAAGGAAGAAUAUUCCAAACAUACGGAGAAGCAGGUUAGAUGACUCAAAAAUAAGUAAAUAAUUUUGACAUAAACAGAAUGAGAUAAGAAUAGAGUGUGUGUUUUGAUCCAGGCCCAGAACAUAUACUCUGUUCUUAUUUCCUUUUUAUUUAAGUCACAAGCGUUUUAUCUUUAGUAUAACAUAGCAUACUAAAGAUAGCAUGGUAUGCUGUCUUUAAUAUAGCAUACUAAAGAAAAGGGAGGAAAAAUUACAAAAGUUAAACAAAACACUGGAGUAAAAGAAGCAAGCAAAAUCCCACCAAGAGUUAAACAUGUCAAUGCAGAUUUGACUGAACCAGGCAAGCAGAUACAAACUUAUCUUCAGAGUGAGGGAAUAUAAAAUACUUAAAGAAAACACAGGAGAAAAGUUGUUCAAGCAUUUAAAUUUUUUUCAAACAAAUCAAUAACGGCUAAAUGAAAUGUAUGAGAACCCACAUAGAUAGAAGAAACUUGUUAAACUUAAAUAGACGAUUUCAUAUUUAAGUGAUGGCCUAGCAUACAAGAAGAAUAUUAUGAAAGGACUGGGGUAAACAAACUGAGAAUUUUGGUAGAAUUAAAAACAAAAUAAAGACUUUUUCAUGUAGAUAAACGCCUUACAACCUGUGAUAAACGCCUUACAAGCAUCCUGGAAAACACUUUAUGACACAAUUAUUCAAAUCACUUUGGAAAAUACAAUGAUAGUUACAUAAACAAACAGGGAGGGACACAUUCUGCUGUUGUACUUGAUCUUGCUAUGACUCUAUGGAAUUGGUGUGUUCAAAAGUAUAUUCAUCCUGUUACAGUACUUCUAGCACUCACGGACAAUGCUUGUGUACUCCAAUACAAACAGACCAUGUCAGAUGAUGAAUUCCUGUGUCUGACAUCCGGAUGUAAGACUUCAAGUCUCAGAUUUGUUCACUUUCCCAAUGCUCUUACUACAAUACAUUCUGAGCCCUGUCACGUGCACAAUGGAGGACCUUCUUACAGCGACACCAAAGGCACUCCAAGUGACCAGUUUCUGGUCAAAGGAAAUUUAGUAUAAUGCCAUUUUUAAAUAUGUUAUAACUGUAUUUUAAAUUCGCUUCUGACACAAUAAAUAAAUAAAUGCAUUCCCAAUUAACACCAAGUGUUCUUAUCUAGAGCAGAUUGGGGUCAAAUGUCUCUUGGGAAUGCUUUCUGCGUAGAUGGUCUUGAUCUCUCUUUUUCCCAUUUUUUCCCAUUACUUUCAGAAGGUUUGAAUUGUCUAGACACAGAUCCAACACCAUUCUAAUAGUGCCCUGUUAGCUGAGACAGCUAUGAUUCGGCCAAUUUUUUCAGCUGUCAAAAGGCCGUUUCAUGCAUCCAACCUACUUUCACAUUCUCACAAUCAAGUCCUCCAUCUGGAACUUGAGAUUCUGCCACUCACAACAUAAAAAAUAACAUCUUGAUUUCUCCUCAGCGCUGAGGUGUAUUCUUGACUUCAUGGAAGGACUCCACUAGAAAAUCUUAUCAUUACAAAUGGAAAAUAUUUUAGUUUGUUUGCAACGUCAAGGUCUGAUCCCUCUUCUCCAUCUUCAUUGUCUAAUAUUUUGCAUUUUCUCUAACACCUGGUUUACCUGGCUGCAGUUGUAGCCAACCAACUCUGCCCUUUCCUUCCUUGUUUUUGGAUCCUGUAAUAAAGAAGUUCGUUAAAGAUCUAUAUCAUCUUUAUCCUUUAGUGACACCACCUGCUCCACCAUUGACACUGUCACUAGUAUUUUCUCAACUUACACAUGGCUCAAUCAAAUCUCUGGCAACAGAUGAUGAACAACUGCUUCCCUGAAAAGCCAUGCUCCUUGUAGCUGUAACCUCUGAGAGACACAUGGGCAAGUUUAAGGUGUGAUGUUCCCUUCCAGAUUUUUCAUCAGGAUGAAGUUGUCUCCCCUCCCAGAUGUCACUUUUUUUCAAAGAUGUUUUCAUACUUUCAUCUGAACCAAAAUAAUAUUCUUCCAACAUUUUAUCCACAGCCAUAUUUCCAUCAGGAAAGGUCUUUUCUUAGCCUAUAUGUAUGUUAGGCCUUGACUUACUCUGUUCCUCAUUUUGCUCUGUUCUGGAAGUCUAAAAGACUGUUUGUUUGUUGUGGCGGUAGACCUAAAACAGGACUCUAAGUGUCUUCCCAGAGACUUUCCAAAUGGGUUGUCCAUACAAUCGGUUUAGUGAACUUUCAGUGAUUCUAAGAACACAUUCCACUAGAGUGUGGCCAAUUUCACUGCACUUCUAUGUGGUGUUCCUUUAGCAGAUGUCUGCAAAGCCGCAACAUAAUUGCAGCCAUCCACAUUCAUCUAGAUCAGUGGUUCCCAAUUUGUGCUCCAUGGAGCCCUGAGGACUCCACAUGCACUUACCGGGGCUCCACAGCCACUCCAGGCAAAUAAAAUAUAUAAAAAUUGAAUGAAAUUAAAGAAUAAGAAACAAAGUUUAAUCAAAAUGAGAAAAAUAGAUAUUACAUUUGGAAUACGAAAUUUCCAAGUUGAAUUUUGCACCUUUAACAGGGCACUUGAUCAUUCUGCUGCCACUAGCUCCAAAAGUAUUGACAACGACGUUGGGUAGGGUGCCGAAGUGUCACACACACUCUGUCAUGUGCUACAUUUUAAUAGCCCUUUCUGGAACUGAAUGUCCACAUCAUUUCUUGUAACUGCAUAUUCAGUAAGUUUCUCCGUUAUUCUUGACCCUUUGAAAAUUCCUGGAAUCCACUCAAACCUUCUUGGAAUCAUAUAAAAUUAAGGCUGGCUAGUCGAUUUGGAGCCACUUCACAGCAAUAACAUUCAUAGCAAUAACUGUGAUUUCUUAGCAAUUCUUCUGAAAAUUUUCUAUGCAUUUGAACUUUUAAUGAGUUUUAGUUCUGUUGUGUCAUGUUCUACUCAUACAUUCAAACCCCGAACUACUGCAAUACAUUUCCAGUAGAAAAACUUUACAUUAUGAAUUGAUUCAGGUGCUUUUAUUGGUAUUCAAGUAGGUAAGUACUUGUAUUUUGUUACAAAAUUUUAUUUGCUUUAUUUUGUAUUUUGGUUUAUGAAAGAUAAACUCCAUUAUUCUCAUAUUCCUGUGUGAUUUUCUUUUAGGCAUAGUUGCUGGCUUCAAAUAGGUACUUUGAAGAAAAAAAAUAUGUUAUGUUUGAAAAGGAGGACAAACCAGCAACUCACUCCAUUACUUCGCCAAAUGAACAAAUGGCAAAAAAAGACAACCAAGCAAUGCACUUAACCAGUUUUUUGUCAGAAGAGAAAAAGAAAAGAAACUAUUUCUGACUGUGGCUCCACCUCAAUUGUUGUUUGCAAAAUCUGGAAGAAGUGGGCAUUGGGGAACACACCUCCCAAUACAAAACAAAAAUAUGAAGAAAGUUACUUGAAUAUGGAAUUCAUAGAAACGAAUGAUAGUUGGCCUCUCUGUGAUUUGUGGAAAUAUGUUGACCAACAGUUCCAUGUUUCCUGCUCAACUGCAGCGUCAUUUCAAGGGAAAUGCCCUCAGUGGUGCAGUGGGUUAAACCCUUGUGUUGCCGGGACUGAAGACCAACAGGUCGCAGGUUCUAAUCCGGGGAGAGCACGGAUGAGCUCCCUCUAUCAGUUCCAGCUCCCCAUGUGGGAACAUGAGAGAAGCCUUCCACAAGGAUGGUAGAACAUAAAAAAAAGAUCUGGGCAUCCCCUGGGCAACAUCCUUGCAGAUGGCCAAUUCUCUCACAACAGAAGCAACUUGCAGUUUCUCAAGUCACUCCUGACGCCCAAAAAAAUCGAGUUAAAAGAUAAACUGUUUGAUAUUUUUCAAGAGGAAGUGCAAUGAAAUUUAGCAGUUUUCCUUCCUUCACUUGCUUAGUCUCCAAUCCCAUCGUGCAUUUUGUUCAACUCCAUCUUCUAUGGGUUUCUUCAACCUUUCCAGGGCCACCCAUCCAUUGCACAUUCACUGAUGGUGGAAAGGCAGUGAUGGGUCACAGUGCUAGAGCCAUUGCCAAAAUUAAAGGCUCUUCAAACUAAUGUGUGAAGAUUUGGGAAGCCACAGUGAGUCCUGCUGCACACUGAAGUAAAGGGGUUGUCUCAAAGUAAAACAUUGACAUAUUUGAUGGAACUGCAUGCAGAGAUAACAGCAUUUUUGGUGGACCAUAAUGCUCUAUUGACAACAGUUUUAAAUAAUAAAGACUGGGUGUGCAAACUGGCGUAUUUGGGCAACAUUUUUAGCAAAAUGAACUAAAUGAAUCUAUCAUUGCCAGAAAAAAUUGGCACAGUUUUUGAUGCAAACACGAAAGUGUCUUCUUUUAAGAGGAAACUUGUAUAUCAGUUGGAGUGCAUGGAAACGGAAGAUAUCAAUUGCUUCCCACAUACAAAAAGCAUCUUGAAUUAAAAUAACAUCAAGAUUCAAGAAAAAAUACAGAGAAAUAUUCAACCGCAUCUCAAAGCUUUGAAAUAUAUAUUUGAACAUAAUUUUUAACAGCAAAAUGGAAGGUACUUGAUGCCUUUAAAUGGAUACUGAAUGUAUUGAGCAUGAACAAAAAGCCACCCAGCUUAAACUCAGCGGAAUACAAGUCCUCACAGAUUUGACACCUUAUAGUGAACUAAAAAUCACAUUUCAAAAUCAGUCUACCAGAGUUUUGACUGCACUUACAAGAUGAAUUUAAAGUCUUGUCUGAGAAAGCAAAAUUAGUAUUGCUACCUUUCUCAACUACAUAUCUCGUGAAGUUGGAUUCUUAGUCUAUACAGUCUCAAAACAAAAUACAGAAGCCACUUAAAUGUAAAAUCAAACAUUAUACUGCAAUUGUCAUCAAUUGAACCUAAAAUAAGAAAACUGUGCAAAAAAUUAAGUUAACUUAUAAUGUUUAUAUGUUAUUUUAUGUUAUUUUAUGUUAUGUCUUAAUUUAGACAUACUGUUGCACUACAGUGCACUCUACUUCUGUUAUAAUGCAAAUGGUGUGAUUUAUUGCUCUUGGAAAGCAUUUUUAUAUAUGUCCAAGUUUUGUCAAUAUCAUGUGUAAUGGUGGUAGUUGAGACAAAUUUGAGAUACUAUGUUUUUUGAAAUACAAUUUCAUUGCAUAUACAUUAUACAAUUGUUUAGAUAUCUCUUUACUUUACGUUACUCCUAAACACCAUUAACUUGUAAAAUAUAGAGUAGGCCUAAGGGGCUCCCCCUUAAAAAUUUAUUCUAAAAAGGGCUUCGCAAGCCAAAAAUUUUGGGAACCACUGAUCUAGAUUAUUGACUGCAUUGCACGUCUAGAACUGAUGAAAGUUUUGGAUGAGCUGUUCUCUCCUCUGUUUCCCCAUGACAUGAUGGGGAAAAGAGAGAGGGCACAUGGGGUGCCACGAACCACCCUGUCCACCUUUCCUUUUGCUGGUGAUUACCGUGUGAAGAGGUUCUCAGUCUGCCAUCCUCUGAUAAGUCUGAGUUUGUGUGAGGAACAGAGACCACUAGGAAGAAGAACAGGUUGCUUCCCUGUAAUUGUAGUUCUUCAAGUGUCAUCUGUACUCUCACAAAAACCCACCCUACCUCCCCUCUUUCUUUAGUAGACUUCAGAACCGAAGUAGCUUAACAGACUGGGACAUGCAUGAGCACAAAACAUAUUUCUGUGAGGGCACAGACAACUACUCAAAGAACCACAUUUACAAGUAAGCAAUCAGUUCAUAUCUUGGAUGUAAGAAAUAUACAAAAUACUGGAAUCACAUGAGUAUAUUCUGUAGUUCAAGGACCAAAAUCAUGUAUUUUUCACAAAGUUUGGAUUAUUUCUUUCACUUUUUUGAAGGUACAAACUAUUUGAGUAGUUUCUGCAAGUAGUUCCUGAGACAAGAUCGUGCCACAUUUAUAUCUGUGUUUAAUAUACACCAUUUUGGAUGUGUACGAAUUAGUAAAUACAUUAGAAUUGGUUUUCUUCAGUCAUACAGCCAUGGGUAUGUUUCCAUGUGUUGAAUCUAAUUUAUACGUAUGUGAAAUAUCCACCAAAGUGCAGAAAUACCAUUUCUUAAGUUUUAAUCAGUUCAUCUUUUUGUAACAGUGGGAGGAGAGUGAUUUGUAAAACUUAAAAUUUGUACAUAUUUACUCAGAAGUACAUAUUUACUUAAUGAGACUUACUUCAUGAUUCAUGAGUGUAGGAUUGUACUUUGAAUAAACCAGAGAAACAAACAAAAAGCAGUGGGGCUAAAUGGAAACAUAAUGGAAUGAAGAGAGAACACUGAGGUCAAAAUCAGAUAUAUAAAAUAAUAAUUAAUUUAUCUAUUAUCUCAGAGGUAUUCAUGUUAAGUUUCAACUUCUAUCCAGUUGUGUGCAGCCUUAAGUUGAUCAGCUCAUCUGCAUAUCUAUAUUACAGACUGACUAGCUGUGGCUUUCUAUAGUUUUCCCCAUCACCUUCUACUUGAUUCUUUCAGCUGAAGAUGACAGGCAGGGCUGUAGCCAGAAAAAAAUUUCGGGGAAGGUUGACAAUUUCGGGGGGGGUUGAAAAUUUCGGAGGGGGGGGUUGAAACCUGCCUCCUAGCUCACGCUGAAGCAAAGAGCACAGCAGGGGGCAGAGCAGCCUUCCAUAGCCUGCAGCUCCGCCCCUGUCAACCACCUCCACCAAGUCUGGCUUCCUUAAUGAGAGCAUUCAACACACACACACCCAACUUGGUUGCUUCACUACAUCGGCUAUUGCUGCAAGUAAUGACAGUGUGAAUAAAUUGUCAAUAUUUGCUUGAGAUAGUGCUUACAGUUCUGGAGGGACUCUUAAUUUUUUGCAUCUCAUAGACUUAGCAUGGGGAUUUGGUUAACCAGUUAAAAUUCAUGAGUAAACCAGGUUUUUAAAAAAAAUCUGAAACAUUUCGGGGGGGGAGUUGAACCCCUAAAACCACCCCCUCGCUACAGGCCUGAUUAACUGGCAUACUUUAUAUGUGAAGCAUGUGCUCUGAUGCUCAUGCCCUGCUGCCAUCAGAAUGCCAAAGAGCUGAAUGGUAUGACCAUACAAUGCCAGCUGGUGCACUCAAAUUUCACUUUAAUAACAAGUAUCAUGGUAAUUGCCAUAUGACUAUAUCUCUGGUCUGCCUUGGCCACUAGAAGUAACAAGUUUUUACAAGAAGAAAAAAAUACUGUUUAUAUUCGAGUAUAAGCAGAUCCUGAGGCAUCUAAUUUUAUCACAAAAAACUGGGAAAACACAUUGACUCGAGUAUAAGCCGAGGGCAGGAAAUGCAGCAGCUACUGGUAAAUUUAAAAAAAAUGCAUUAAUUGACUCUUCAGUAGCUUAAAUGUUUUUGAAAUGUUUACAUUAAAGUGUAAUUUAAGAAAACACUGUCCAACUCUGAUUAAUCCAUUAUUCUAAUCUUCUUCAAUGUAAAUGUGCUUAUGUAGCCUUCCUAUAAAAAUAAAGAGAGAAAAUAAUAAAUGUAAUAAAAAUAAUAAUACAGUAAAAUAAUGGAAAUGUAAUAAUAACAGUAAUAAUUGUGUAAAAUAAUAAAUGUAAUAACAAUAAUAGAGAAAAAUAACAAAUGUAAUAAUAAUAGAGUAAAGUAAUAAAUUUAAUAAUUAUUAUAAUCAUAAUAACAACAGAGUAAAAUAAUAAUUAGCCUUGACUCAAGUAUAAGCCAAGGAGGGCCUUUCCAGCCUUCAAAAGGGGCUGAGAAACUAGGCUUAUACUCAUGUAUAUAUGUACAUUAAGAACAUUUUCUAUUCCAGUGGGGACAACUCUCCCCAAGAAGAAGCUUGUCAAAGAAAGCGUUGAUUGCAAUUUAAAUACAAUCUGGUAUUGUGUGUUUUGCAUGCACAGUAAGUUAAAUAAUUGACUUGCAUUUAAAAAAUCAAAUAUAUCUUGUUAUUGGCAGUCCUUCAGAAAGGAAGCCAAAGUAUCCAUAUCUUGAAAAUAUAACUAUGCUGAAUUCUUGGUGAAUUGCAGCCCUAAAUUCUGAAACAUCUCAAAAGAGAAUAUGGGAUCAUCAUAAUCUCAAACAGUAAUACAUUGCUCCUAUCAUGGGAAGAGUGGAAACUCCAUAUUCUGGCUGGAGAAGGAUUGUCUAUGUAUACAAUAAAGUUGUUAAAUAACUGCUACAGACUUAGUGGAGCAGCUACUGACAAACUAGGCCACAGUAAACAGUAAAUAUGUCUAUUAUGUUGACGUUUUAUAUUAUAUUUGCUUUUAAGAAAAAUGCAUAGAGUUGUCUGAACAAUAGAGCCUAGUACAGCCAAUGGUUUCAAUGGCCAACUUUAAUACCAAGUAUAAGUAAGUGGGUGAGUUUCAGAGAUCUUACGUUACUUUAGGCUUAAUGAGAAGAGGGUGGAAUUAUAGAAGAUUGUUCAAAGUAUAUGCAGCUUAAGUUAAAUGGAUUUUAGUCUAAAGGUUUUGGUGACAAGAUCCACAAGUCCCAUUCCUAGCUGUGCCAUUUCUAUAUCUGUGCUUCUGUUUUCCAGUAUCCAUAUAGUAAAAUAAUGUUUUAUUUUUAAUACCUGCAAUAGUUUUCCCCUAUGCAGUUUCUUGUUCCCCUUUUAUUAUUCCACACCUUUCCUAUCAGUUACUCUUAUCCUCCAUCCCCAGAUUCAAUUACCUGUGGCAUCAGUUGUCCAGAAAACCUUUUGAGAGAGAUAACUAUUCUGCAAUAAUACCAUAUUUACUCAAAUCUACUGCUCAUCUUUUCUUUUUCUUUUUUGCUAAAUUGUAUAGCCAAAACUGAGAUGUGCAUUAGGUUCAAUGGUGUAUUAGAAUUGUGCAUUUAACCCACAUACACACACCCUGAACUCACCAGCCUCAUCCUGACAGAGGGACACCGCUUCCCUACUGGCCUCAUUUAUGAGGCCUUCAAAAUAUUCCCCAUUCCCACUCAUGGUUUUCCAGCCUUGGCCUGAUGGAGGGACACGGCUUCCCCUUGUCCGUCAGCCAUUUGGAGGUAACCAGCAGAAGAGUCAACUGGCAAGGGAAAACCACACAUUUCAUUUGACAACAAAUCCCUCAGUUUUUGCAAUGUGCACUUUAAGAAUUGAGGUGCACAAUUACAGUCCAUGGUGCAUUAUGAGUAAAUAUGAUACUGACCACCAGUGAAAGAAGGAACAUUGAGUUCUGAAUCUCUUGCCUGAUUCAAAGAAGAAUUACAUUCUGAGAAGCUUGAGUAUUUUGCAAAAUUAAAGCUUGUAAGUUGUUUGGCUUGACAAUUUCACGUCUAUUAUCCUGUGCAGUAUCAUACCCUCCAACAUCUCAAAGAUUAAAAUGGUCAAACAACAUCACAGUGUAGUCAAAAUGGCAAAACGUAUUAAUGAAGAAAAAUAGAUAAGCUAGGAGAGGCUGAAGCAGCUUGCUUUCGCCUGGGCCUAUUGGGAAGGUCAGGAGUCCAGCAUCUCCCCACUGAUGAAUUCGUUGAGUAUAUGCUACCUUUGCACUCAUUUUACAGCAGUUGAACUAAGCUAAGACAAGGGAGGAAUGUUCGAGGACAAGAGAAACUGGGACAUUUUAAAAGCAGCUGCACAACUGGGAGGAGUGAGGACUAACAGGGGGUGCCAUCUAAAUUGUAGAAUUCAAUCAGUUGGGUAACACUUUAAAUAUCCUGUCUCCAUGCAAUUGAGUUGUAGUGUUUUACAAUGUCUUUAGCCUUCUCUGCCAAGGAGUUUGGUGCCUCACCAAACUGCAGCUUCCAGAAUUCCAUAGCAUUGAACCAUGGCAGUUAAAGCGGUCUCGAACUGACUUAAUUCUACAGAUAGAUACACCCUCAGACUUCCUGCCAAAUUAGUUGGAGUAUAUAUAGUAUGGGCAGUAUGAUUAAUGUCCCUGUCCACAUAUGGUUUAGUUUAUGAAAAUUCUACUUUACUGUCUUGAAAUCAGCACAUUGUGAAUGGUGUGACUCAACAUGAACAUUACAGAAAGAAAGUCAGAUUCAAUAGCAAGUAAAAAUUAGAAAUUCCUUGGAUUAAAUUCAUUAUGCAAAUGUCAGGUUUUAUAUGAAUACCUACACAUCAUUUAUGAGAUUUUUAUCUUUAUUUUGGUGUUCAUUGAAAUAUUUUGUUAAUGCAAGAAAAUCUUGAAGAUAUUGACUAAAAUCUUAUUGAUUAGUUCCUACUAGAAUAAAUCAAUUGAAUCCCUUGUUGAAUGUUGAGUCAGCAUGUAGACACAUCUCACUAAUUUAAUGAAGCUACUGUAGUUGGAACUAACAAUAGGAUUCAAGCCACUGAGCAGAACAUGUAUGAAAGGAAAUUGAAAGGGAGGUACAUAAACUGCUGCUACAUUGAGAACUGACAACAUCUGUAGCAGUAGAAUAAGAGUAGCUCCCAUAACAUCCAACCUUUUGCAGAUAGAAAGUAGGGCACUCGUGCUUUAGCAAUAUCAGAGUUUAAUCAAAAGUGCAUGGCCAGGCAUCAAGGAGCUGACAUUAUUAUUGACAAAUAACACAGAGAGCUACUAUUGUGAAUAUAGAAACCAUGGAAUUUAUGUGUUGAGUUUGGGAAAGGCUGAAAAAUAGAAAAGGACAAUAGGACGUGCAAGGCACUGCCUCCUUCUAUUAACCUAGUGCAAAUUAUUUUGAACUUUGAACUCUGUUUGCAACAAUUAAAAAGUGAGAGGAGAGAGAAAACUUGACUUUUAAAAGCAGAAAGUGGAACCACAGAAGAUUAACCAUGUUUGUCUAUGUCAAACCAUGACAUUUUGAGAGUAUGGGCUCCAGUGUUGCACUAUUUGAAAAUAGAAACAUUUCACAAUAGAAAUGGGAGUAUCAAUCCUUGAGUGGCACACCUGCAAAGGAGUUACCAAUCCUUUUCGGGUGUGCUGGCUAUUCAAUCAAUUGUUUUCAACCUUUGCUCCUCAAAAUGGUUUAGGUUUUAGCACCCAAAAUUGGAUAUUGACCACACUGUCUGCGGUUCUGGAAAUUGAACUCCAAAAUAUUUGGAAGACCAGAGAUUGAAAACCACCGUCUUGAAUACAGUCAUAAUGUUGCUGUCCUCGGACAAAUGAAUCAGUUCUUAUUGGGCAUAUCCAUAUUGUAACUUUUCCCUUGCUGCUUUAUUUAAUAUAUGACAUACUAUUAUACUAUCAAGUACUACCAAAAUUUUAGGGAGUAGCCUCUGAGAGAAGCAACCACCUGAUCUGCCAAAGUGGUGUGACUUUUGAGUUCUGACUACAGAACAAAAUUAUAAAUCUCAACAGGUGUUCUAGGUGACCUGAAAAAAUGUCUUAAGAUCCCAUCUAUAAUUGCCAGUAUGAAAAAAAUUCUAGGAGCGAAAUAUGACUGCUUCAUCUUGUCUAGAAAAUUACUAACAGUUUACUCCACGCCAUUCUGCAUAUGUCGAGAAAGAAAAGAUUGACUCUCCCAGAUCCUCCUGACAGCUGGUACUGAUGGAUGUGAAAGAAAGGGAAAUGCCACAUCAAUCUGUAGCCUAAUGAUUAGAUAGAAA